This is a long non-coding RNA of Nycticebus coucang (slow loris), 489 nucleotides long. RefSeq lists it as uncharacterized. NCBI's taxonomy places the organism in Eukaryota, Metazoa, Chordata, Mammalia, Primates, Lorisidae. The transcript has 3 exons. The record is from RefSeq and is a predicted model, not a curated record.
CCCAUGUGCACACUCUUUGAGAAAGGUGCACCCACCACUUUCGACUGUUGGGAUAUUGCAGGAGAGAGCGAUGUCCACUGGACACUGGACAUCCUGUGUUGGGAAUGAAGACAAUAGUGUUUAUAUCACACUGAGAUGUGGUCUGACCAGGGCAGCACGUACAGGACAUGUUUCUGGGCAGGGCUGGGUUUGAACCCGCCACCUCCAGCACAUGGGGCCGGUGCCCCACUCCUUUGAGGCAUAGGCACCGCCCUUGACUUUACCCCUGAUGAAAAUAAAAACCUCCGUAGCUCCGACUUUCCAUUGCAGUGUAUCCCAGGACUACUUCUAAGGCCUGAAGUUCACUGGUGUCCCCAUGUUGCAGAAGAAUAAGAACGCCCUUCAUAAGAGUGGCCCCACUUAGCACAGCCAGACGCAAGUCGCCGACGUCCUUACCUCACAGAAGCUCUGACACUGGUGUUUCCUCAGGUCCCCCGACUCCUUGCACGG